UACUCCUACGGGAGGCAGCAGUGGGGAAUAUUGGGCAAUGGGCGAAAGCCUGACCCAGCAACGCCGCGUGAAGGAAGAAGGUCUUCGGAUUGUAAACCUCUGUCUUUGGUGACGAAGAAGUGACGGUAGCCAAGGAGGAAGCCACGGCUAACUACGUGCCAGCAGCCGCGGUA
RNAcentral lists this ribosomal RNA (173 nucleotides) under uncultured bacterium. RNAcentral's name for it is "partial 16S ribosomal RNA". It matches the Rfam family "Bacterial small subunit ribosomal RNA", at positions 334 to 522 of the family's 1533-position model. The record is from RNAcentral.